UCUUCGUAGGUGAACCUGCGGAGGGAUCAUUAGUGAUUUUCAAAAGGGGAGUCCCUCUUCAUCAGAGAAGGCCCCGUCACUACACCUUUACACUCGUGCAUUUGUCCCUUUUUUUUUAACACACACCCUGUGCAAUCGAAGCAGUCCUCUUGACAGAAAUUUGAUAAACGAAAGAAAAACUUUCAGCAAUGGAUCUCUUGGCUCUCGCAUCGAUGAAGAACGCAGC
Molecule: unclassified non-coding RNA, 226 nt
Filed under: uncultured fungus
Lineage: Eukaryota; Fungi
Description: sequence contains ITS1, 5.8S rRNA gene
Rfam family: 5.8S ribosomal RNA (bases 178-226)
Source: RNAcentral